UACGGAGGGUGCGAGCGUUGUCCGGAAUCACUGGGCGUAAAGGGCGCGUAGGCGGCGCGAGCAGUCGAUCGUGAAAGUCCGGAGCUCAACUCCGGAUCGGCGGUCGAUACUCUCGUGCUUGAGCACUGUAGAGGCAGAUGGAAUUCCGGGUGUAGCGGUGGAAUGCGUAGAGAUCCGGAAGAACACCGGUGGCGAAGGCGGAUCUCUGGGCCUUACCUGACGCUGAGGCGCGAAAGCUAGGGGAGCGAACAGG
This 253-nucleotide ribosomal RNA is filed under the name uncultured bacterium. RNAcentral describes it as "partial 16S ribosomal RNA". It matches the Rfam family "Bacterial small subunit ribosomal RNA", at positions 524 to 776 of the family's 1533-position model. The record is from RNAcentral.